GAUGAACGCUGGCGGCGUGCCUAAUACAUGCAAGUCGAGCGAACGGACGAGAAGCUUGCUUCUCUGAUGUUAGCGGCGGACGGGUGAGUAACACGUGGAUAACCUACCUAUAAGACUGGGAUAACUUCGGGAAACCGGAGCUAAUACCGGAUAAUAUUUUGAACCGCAUGGUUCAAAAGUGAAAGACGGUCUUGCUGUCACUUAUAGAUGGAUCCGCGCUGCAUUAGCUAGUUGGUAAGGUAACGGCUUACCAAGGCAACGAUGCAUAGCCGACCUGAGAGGGUGAUCGGCCACACUGGAACUGAGACACGGUCCAGACUCCUACGGGAGGCAGCAGUAGGGAAUCUUCCGCAAUGGGCGAAAGCCUGACGGAGCAACGCCGCGUGAGUGAUGAAGGUCUUCGGAUCGUAAAACUCUGUUAUUAGGGAAGAACAUAUGUGUAAGUAACUGUGCACAUCUUGACGGUACCUAAUCAGAAAGCCACGGCUAACUACGUGCCAGCAGCCGCGGUAAUACGUAGGUGGCAAGCGUUAUCCGGAAUUAUUGGGUGUAAAGCGCGCGUAGGCGGUUUUUUAAGUCUGAUGUGAAAGCCCACGGCUCAACCGUGGAGGGUCAUUGGAAACUGGAAAACUUGAGUGCAGAAGAGGAAAGUGGAAUUCCAUGUGUAGCGGUGAAAUGCGCAGAGAUAUGGAGGAACACCAGUGGCGAAGGCGACUUUCUGGUCUGUAACUGACGCUGAUGUGCGAAAGCGUGGGGAUCAAACAGGAUUAGAUACCCUGGUAGUCCACGCCGUAAACGAUGAGUGCUAAGUGUUAGGGGGUUUCCGCCCCUUAGUGCUGCAGCUAACGCAUUAAGCACUCCGCCUGGGGAGUACGACCGCAAGGUUGAAACUCAAAGGAAUUGACGGGGACCCGCACAAGCGGUGGAGCAUGUGGUUUAAUUCGAAGCAACGCGAAGAACCUUACCAAAUCUUGACAUCCUUUGACAACUCUAGAGAUAGAGCCUUCCCCUUCGGGGGACAAAGUGACAGGUGGUGCAUGGUUGUCGUCAGCUCGUGUCGUGAGAUGUUGGGUUAAGUCCCGCAACGAGCGCAACCCUUAAGCUUAGUUGCCAUCAUUAAGUUGGGCACUCUAAGUUGACUGCCGGUGACAAACCGGAGGAAGGUGGGGAUGACGUCAAAUCAUCAUGCCCCUUAUGAUUUGGGCUACACACGUGCUACAAUGGACAAUACAAAGGGCAGCGAAACCGCGAGGUCAAGCAAAUCCCAUAAAGUUGUUCUCAGUUCGGAUUGUAGUCUGCAACUCGACUACAUGAAGCUGGAAUCGCUAGUAAUCGUAGAUCAGCAUGCUACGGUGAAUACGUUCCCGGGUCU
Molecule: ribosomal RNA, 1372 nt
Filed under: uncultured bacterium
Lineage: Bacteria
Description: bacterial SSU rRNA
Rfam family: Bacterial small subunit ribosomal RNA
Source: RNAcentral